UGGACCAAUGAUGAGUAUCCUGGGGUGUCUGAAUCAAGUGUUCUGGUUAAACUCUAUAACUCCGAGGUUCAU
Small nucleolar RNA from Loxodonta africana (African savanna elephant), 72 nucleotides. Ensembl annotates it as small nucleolar RNA SNORD113/SNORD114 family. NCBI's taxonomy places the organism in Eukaryota, Metazoa, Chordata, Mammalia, Proboscidea, Elephantidae. The record is from Ensembl.